RNAcentral lists this ribosomal RNA (863 nucleotides) under Leifsonia sp. RNAcentral's name for it is "bacterial SSU rRNA". It matches the Rfam family "Bacterial small subunit ribosomal RNA", at positions 86 to 965 of the family's 1533-position model. The record is from RNAcentral. Lineage: Bacteria; Bacillati; Actinomycetota; Actinomycetes; Micrococcales; Microbacteriaceae.
UUGGGAUUAGUGGCGAACGGGUGAGUAACACGUGAGUAACCUGCCCUUGACUCUGGGAUAACCUCCGGAAACGGAAGCUAAUACCGGAUAUGACGUACGGAGGCAUCUCCUGUACGUGGAAAGAACUUCGGUCAAGGAUGGACUCGCGGCCUAUCAGGUAGUUGGUGAGGUAACGGCUCACCAAGCCUACGACGGGUAGCCGGCCUGAGAGGGUGACCGGCCACACUGGGACUGAGACACGGCCCAGACUCCUACGGGAGGCAGCAGUGGGGAAUAUUGCACAAUGGGCGCAAGCCUGAUGCAGCAACGCCGCGUGAGGGAUGACGGCCUUCGGGUUGUAAACCUCUUUUAGUAGGGAAGAAGCGAAAGUGACGGUACCUGCAGAAAAAGCACCGGCUAACUACGUGCCAGCAGCCGCGGUAAUACGUAGGGUGCGAGCGUUGUCCGGAAUUAUUGGGCGUAAAGAGCUCGUAGGCGGUCUGUCGCGUCUGCUGUGAAAUCCCGAGGCUCAACCUCGGGCCUGCAGUGGGUACGGGCAGACUAGAGUGCGGUAGGGGAGAAUGGAAUUCCUGGUGUAGCGGUGGAAUGCGCAGAUAUCAGGAGGAACACCGAUGGCGAAGGCAGUUCUCUGGGCCGUAACUGACGCUGAGGAGCGAAAGCGUGGGGAGCGAACAGGAUUAGAUACCCUGGUAGUCCACGCCGUAAACGUUGGGCGCUAGAUGUGGGGGACCAUUCCACGGGUUCCGUGUCGCAGCUAACGCAUUAAGCGCCCCGCUGGGGGAGUACGGCCGCAAGGCUAAAACUCAAAGGAAUUGACGGGGCCGCACAAGCGGCGGAGCAUGCGAUAUUUCGAUGCACGCGAA